UGGAGAAGAACCCCUAAACUUUCUUCUCUUCUUAGGGAAAUUGCUUAAGGAUUAGACCAGCCAGCCUUUUCGGAUUUCCUCCGACCACAGGCUAUAUCUGUUGACUCUAGACGGAUGCCCAUUUGUGGCUUCGAGCUUCCACCUGGUGAAAUGAGUGGGUUGGGCUAGGCAACAUUUUAACAGCUUUCUAGCUAAAAUCCUGUGGCUGGCUGACUUCUGAGGCCCCUGUUAGUGCUUACCUUGGAACUAGGCAAUCUGAUACCCUUUCUAGCGCUAAUCCUUUGGCUAGGCAAGCUCAAAGAUAACUUCUAACUCUGACGUUCUGUGAUUCUGUCUAGUUCAGUGUGGUUGAAACGAAACAAGUCUGAUAAAGUGAUCUCAAGGGGUGCGGUUUCAGUUGAGAACUGAUGAUAGAAAAGGAAGAUGUCCAAAGAUAAAAAGCAAGUCUGAAAGCAGGAAGGCAAAUAGAAGGAGGAAGCAAGAGUUGAGAGGAAAUAGAACAGAAGGAAGACAGAUUUCGAUGGAGCCAGCAGGAAAAAACAAAGACUUCAACAAAUAUUAGACACCUGCUAUAUGCAAUGAACCAUGAUACACACUUGGUAUAAAAGACAGAAAGAAAGAAAGAAA
Phascolarctos cinereus (koala) is the source of this 627-nucleotide non-coding RNA. The record is from RefSeq and is a predicted model, not a curated record. Lineage: Eukaryota; Metazoa; Chordata; Mammalia; Diprotodontia; Phascolarctidae.